UGUACAUGAAAGACCAGAGAAAUCAGCAUUCAUUAUUGCUUUGUAGCAUUGAACAUAUAUAAGAAUUUUCUAGGAUCUGUAAGGAUGCCAGCUGCUCUUUGUGGUGUUGUUGGUCUAAAACCAACUUUUGAACGUAUACCUCAUGAAGGAGUUCUUCCCCUAAAUUGGAA
This is a long non-coding RNA of Glycine soja, 170 nucleotides long. RefSeq lists it as uncharacterized. NCBI's taxonomy places the organism in Eukaryota, Viridiplantae, Streptophyta, Magnoliopsida, Fabales, Fabaceae. The record is from RefSeq and is a predicted model, not a curated record. The transcript is spliced from 3 exons.